UGGCUGGUGGGUCAUUGGACCCCUUUGAAACCCCAGGUCCCACACCACACUCAGCUGUCCCAGAUCCCAGCUCUGUAAUAUGAUUACAGCCCAGAAUGAUGCUUUUAUCUCAUUUUUCAGAAAAUUAAGGUGUUUAAUCAGGACAUUGAAAAGUUAAUAGAAGGAGAAGAAAUUGUAAAGGAGAAAGAGUCCCGCUUAUAUAACAAAAUCAGACAGGAGUUUAAAAACUGGAUACUCAUACUUGCAGCCAAUACCCAAAAAGAAGAAGAUUGAAGACAUAAAAGCAAAACAAGCGGAAACAGCAGAAAAUCUGACCCGGCUUCAGUUCAGGAUGGAGCAAUUGAUUUAUCGUCAAGAUCAGAUUCACAGCGUGUGGCUCUGAACAGAGUCUGAGAAGAGAUCUUUAACCCAGUGGGAACGCCUCCACAGAAUCUUCAGUCGAAAUCGCCCCUUUUAAAUGAUCCGCCUUCAUUUUCCUCCACUGUGGAAAUUUGGGUCCACCUGAAUGUGUGUUUCUCGGAAACCGGCAAACGUCUCGCCAACCCGAUCCCAUUCAUAAUUCAGUAUUUUAUGCUCCAAGAGAAUGGCGAUUACUUACAGAAAGUCACGAUGCAGAUACUACAGGAAAAACAGUACUAUUCCUGGCUGCUUCAAGAACAGAGUGACACGACAGCCAAGAGGAGAUUCCUUAGGGAGAAAAUUUACCGGCUGGCUCAGGCACGGCGCGCUCUCUACGAAUUCCCCCAGUUAAAGUGGUAAAUCCCAAAAGAACACCAGUGCUGCUGGGUUUUGCUAUGCGCGUGACUGUAAGGGAGUUGGUACAGGAAGUGGUCUCAUUUGGGGCCAGACUUUUCUGUUGCUGUCUGUGUCCAUCUUCACUGUGCUGCACUCAGCACCAGAGUUUAUAUCUGAAGUCCCGCGACCCACAGAGCUGUCACCUCCACCGGGAGGUCUUCCUUGUCCUCUGUAAAGAGGGGGCUCUCCAGCCCUUGGGCCCCAGAGCCCCCAGUUACAGCAUUCUUAAAUACUGCUGGCAUUCUUUGUUAAUUUUUUACCCCUCUGCAUUAGACUAUGAGACCUCAGAAAGGUAAGGUCAGUUCAUAUUCUUUUGUAUUUCCAGAAUCUCGCAUGGUGCCUGGAGCAUAGUAGCCACUUAAUAAAUAUCUCAUUGAACCAAUGAAUGAUGGAGAUUACCUGAGGCUAUGGCUUAAAUCCAGACUUUGGUUGUUUGGAAUGGUGUCCCUUAGCUGGUCACUUUCUGACAAAUUCAGUCAUGCCAUGCCACCUGCUUCCCAUCAUUUGCUGUGAUGGUGUUUCCCAGCGCCCCGGGAGACAAGAGGCUGAGUGAUAUUAUUUUUAAUUUGCAGUGAACUCCAUUGCUGUGUUAAGUCUUAAAGAGAAAUUUAAUAAGGAAAAACAUUUUUUUAAAAAGCAGAGAGCUUCACACCAGUGGUCAUCUCUAGAUUGAAGGAUUAUGGUUAAUUUUAUUUUCUUCUUUGAACUAAGCUAAUGACCUCACAGGAAUUUUAGGAAGGUUAAGUGAAACCAUUUCUACAAACUAUGGGUCCCAAAGCAGGUGUUCAAAAAUGCCAGCAAUUUUUCCCUCCAAAAAAGACCCCUUUUUUUCUUUACCUCUAGGUCUGUCAAGAAGCCCUCAAUUCUAAAGCUCUUCCAGCCAGUUCUUAUGUUUAGUUCUUUGAUACUUUUUGACAAUUUUUGUAUAUGGUGUUAGGUAAGAGUCCUUUGGCGUAUGCAUAUCCAGUUUGCCCAGCACCAUUUUUUGAAACGACUGCUCUUUCCCUAUUGAUCUUGGCACUCUUGUCAAAAUCAUUUGAGCAUAUAUGCAAGGACUUGUUUCUGGGCUCUGUUCUAUUGCAUUGGUCUAUAUGACUGUCUUUAUGACAUUACCACACUGUUUUGAUAAUUGUAGAUUUGUCGUAAGUUUUGAAAUCAGGAAGUGUGAGUCCUCCAGCUUUGUUCUU
This is a long non-coding RNA of Aethalodelphis obliquidens (Pacific white-sided dolphin), 1982 nucleotides long. RefSeq lists it as uncharacterized. The transcript is spliced from 3 exons. Lineage: Eukaryota; Metazoa; Chordata; Mammalia; Artiodactyla; Delphinidae. The record is from RefSeq and is a predicted model, not a curated record.